RNAcentral lists this ribosomal RNA (504 nucleotides) under uncultured bacterium. RNAcentral's name for it is "bacterial SSU rRNA". It matches the Rfam family "Bacterial small subunit ribosomal RNA", at positions 32 to 507 of the family's 1533-position model. The record is from RNAcentral.
AAUCAACGCUGGCGGCGUGCUUAACACAUGCAAGUCGAGCGCGAAAGCGGCUUCGGUCGUUAGUAGAGCGGCGGACGGGUGAGGAACACGUGGGUAACCUACCCUCGGGUGGGGAAUAACCCAGGGAAACCUGGGCUAAUUCCGCAUAACAUCUUUAGCUCGCAAGAGUUAUUGAUCAAAGCUGGGGACCCUUCGGGGCCUGGCGCCUGUGGAGGGGCCCGCGGCCGAUUAGCUUGUUGGUGAGGUAACGGCUCACCAAGGCUCCGAUCGGUAGCCGGCCUAAGAGGGCGGACGGCCACACUGGGACUGAGACACGGCCCAGACUCCUACGGGAGGCAGCAGUGGGGAAUUUUUUGUCAAUGGGGGAAACCCUGAACAAGCAACGCCGCGUGGAGGACGAAGACCCUCGGGUCGUAAACUCCUGUCGGAGGGGACGAAAGCGGUCGUAGUUAAUACCUGCGAUCGUUGACGGUACCCUACGAGGAAGCCCCGGCUAACUCCGUG